RNAcentral lists this ribosomal RNA (486 nucleotides) under uncultured bacterium. RNAcentral's name for it is "partial 16S ribosomal RNA". It matches the Rfam family "Bacterial small subunit ribosomal RNA", at positions 28 to 507 of the family's 1533-position model. The record is from RNAcentral.
GAUGAACGCUGGCGGCGUGCCUAAUACAUGCAAGUCGAACGCUGGUAAUCUAGCUUGCUAGAUUGAAGGAGUGGCGAACGGGUGAGUAAUACAUAAGCAACCUACCCACGAAGACUGGGAUAAUCUCUGGAAACGGGGACUAAUACCGGAUAGGUAAUCGGAAGGCAUCUUCUGAUUAUUAAAGGUUAAAAACACUGGUGGAUGGGCUUAUGGCGCAUUAGUUAGUUGGUGAGGUAACGGCCCACCAAGACGAUGAUGCGUAGCCGGCCUGAGAGGGUGAACGGCCACAUUGGGACUGAGACACGGCCCAGACUCCUACGGGAGGCAGCAGUAGGGAAUUUUCGGCAAUGGGGGAAACCCUGACCGAGCAACGCCGCGUGAGUGAGGACGGCCUUCGGGUUGUAAAGCUCUGUUGUAAGGGAAGAACGGUAGAUAGAUAAUAUCUAAAUGACGGUACCUUACCAGAAAGCCACGGCUAACUACGUG